AACGAACGCUGGCGGCGUGCCUAACACAUGCAAGUCGAGCGGGAAAGUUCCCUUCGGGGGAUGAGUAUAGCGGCGCACGGGUGAGUAACACGUAGGUAACCUGCCCCCAAGUCUGGAAUAACCCGCCGAAAGGCGGGCUAAUACCUGAUAAGACCACGUCGGCCUCGGGCGACGCGGCAAAAGAUGGACUCUACGUGUAAGCUAUCGCUACGGGAUGGGCCUGCGCGCCAUUAGCUAGUUGGUGGGGUAACGGCCUACCAAGGCGAAGAUGGCUAGCUGGUCUGAGAGGAUGAUCAGCCACACUGGGACUGAGACACGGCCCAGACUCCUACGGGAGGCAGCAGUGGGGAAUAUUGCGCAAUGGGGGAAACCCUGACGCAGCGACGCCGCGUGGGUGAUGAAGGCCUUCGGGUCGUAAAGCCCUGUCGGGAGGGACGAACCACCGAUGGAAUAAUACGCCAUCGGCCUGACGGUACCUCCUAAGGAAGCACCGGCUAACUCCGUGCCAGCCGCCGCCGUAAUAC
Molecule: ribosomal RNA, 524 nt
Filed under: uncultured bacterium
Lineage: Bacteria
Description: bacterial SSU rRNA
Rfam family: Bacterial small subunit ribosomal RNA
Source: RNAcentral